This is a long non-coding RNA of Mus musculus (house mouse), 1555 nucleotides long. RefSeq annotates it as predicted gene, 41516. Lineage: Eukaryota; Metazoa; Chordata; Mammalia; Rodentia; Muridae. The record is from RefSeq and is a predicted model, not a curated record. The transcript has 3 exons.
UUUGAACCAAGGUUUGUCCAAUUUAACAUUGGCCUUUGUUUCCGUGUGUGUGGGGAGGUGAGGGGGUGUCUACAUGCAUGUCUACAUGUUCAUGCUUGUGUGUAAACCAAAGGAUAGCCUUGGGUGUUGUCCUCAGAUACUGUCUAUGUGUGUGUCAGAGGGCAUGGAGAUGGGGGCACAGGGACUGGCUCUCACUGGUCUGACACCAAGUAGGUGAGUAGGCUGGCUAGCCAGGGAGUCCUGGGAUCUUUCUGUGCCCAUAUCCCUGGCUCUGGGAUUAUAAUCACAUACUUCCAUGCCUGGCUUAUUAAGCAUGAGUUCUUUUGGCUUGCAAGACACAUGCUUAACCAAAUGAGCCCACCCCCCAAGCCUCUUUAUAUCACCAUGGUCUGUGUCUCCUUAAAGGUUUUUUGAGACUCAGCUCAGUACUCCUUCCUCAACUUGCCACGCCCCUUUCUGAAAUAUGUAUCCCUCAACAUAUUAACAUGGCGCUAGGUGAGUAAAUCAGGGAGAAAUCAGGGCAUGCUACAUGCAGUCAAUGCAAGUGCCCAUUUGCAUAGUGGCUGAUGGCAUUAACAUUCACCACCUGCCACACCAGCCACCAUUCUAUCAGAUCCUGUAGCAAAUACCUGAGAAUUUGCAAAAGAGGCCAUUCAGCAUGAACAUUUUAAAGGAACUAACUCAUAUUUUGCUAAUUAGAAGAAGAAGAAGAAGAAGAAGAAGAAGAAGAAGAAGAAGAAGAAGAAGAAGAAGAAGAAGAAGAAGAAGAAGAAGAAAGACAAGACACCUAGCUCCAUUAUUAUCAUAUAUUGCGAUUCUAGAGGUCUGGACUCUGGUCCCCAGGUUUGAGAGAAAAUUGAAAAACAUACUAAAACAAGUUUCCAGCUAGCCAUAAACGUAUUUCACCAUCAGUCUGUCUGCUGCCUUUGCUACCUGCUUUUGAGAGAGGACCGAAGCUGGCUCUUCCCAGAGGGAUGAAGUCCAUUGCCAACAGUGCUCUGAUCAUGGACACGCCCACGGAAACCGUGGGAUCCUGUAGCGAUUUCUACAGAGCAGGCAGACUGGCCGGCUUUGUCCAGGCCAGGCUCCGAAGCUGAAUUCCACGUGGCUCAGAUUUGCUUUACCAUUUCCAGAAAAGUCAAGGGAACAUUUACAUAAGGGUUUCUCUUAUUUUCAGCCUCUUCUGACCCCAAAUCUCCCCAGUCUCCCCUUUUCUCACUCGACAUCAGCCACAGGCUACACUUGAGUUCCUCAAAGCUGACAGCUGUUCCCAGAUGACAAGAUCUUUCCCUGCUGUGCCCUCUCCAGUCCAGGGAAAUAUGGGGCUCACUUCAUCGUAUUUCUGUCUCUGUUCCAGUCACCUUCUUUGAGAGAGGGCUCCCAGACUGCCCUGCCUAAAUAAUAUGUCUCUUCACCAUUCUAGUGUAGCGCUUUGCUGUUAGCAAUUAUUCAGGGACAAGAGCUGUAUUCUUGCCAUGUGUCAGCUUGGCUUUAUUUACUACAGUUCCUUGAAUACAAGGGUUAUAUUUAUAUGCAUAUGUAUAUGUUUAUAUAU